GGGUCAGUGGGUUGGUCGUGCCACCGGUACGUACUGGUCUCACUGAUUCCUCCUUCCUGAAGAACCGUAAUGCCAUUAAUUUGGUGUUGCGGGGAAACAGGACUGUUACUUUGAAAAAAUUAGAGUGUUUAAAGCAAGCUAACGCUUGAAUACAUUAGCAUGGAAUAAUGGAAUAGGACGAUCGAUCCUAUUUUGUUGGUUUCUAGGAUUGACGUA
Molecule: ribosomal RNA, 216 nt
Filed under: Glomeromycotina sp.
Lineage: Eukaryota; Fungi; Glomeromycota
Description: partial small subunit ribosomal RNA
Rfam family: Eukaryotic small subunit ribosomal RNA (bases 40-216)
Source: RNAcentral